AGGAAAUAGGUGUAGUGAAUUGGUUGGAUUAUGGAGGACGAGAAGUUUAGUAGUUUAUAAGUGUGAGAACGGCGGUUUAAACUAAUAUGGGUUGAAGUACUGUAUAGGAACAAGUUAUAUAGGGGAGAUUGUAGGGGAAUAUUAGGUUAGUUUAUUACCUUUUGUAUUAGGGAUGAUCAAUGAAAAUAGAUUGUAGUUCUAGAUCUAGAUGAGUUGUGGGCUAAUAAGAUUGAUGUGGUUUGUUGAAUAAAAUUGGGUGAGGUCUUAUUAGGAGAUGAUAUGUAAUUCGAACUUCUUGAUAUCUGGUUCCUUAAGAAAGAUAUUUGACAGUAUGGUUAUGAUGGCAGUUUAUAGGGAUUAGCUUAUAAACAAUAUAUUGAGGUUAUUUUGUAGGAUUUGUUAGUAAGGUUGAUAGUGCUUAUUUUUAUGGUUUUAUAAUUGAAUAUGAUGAAGUGGGAUAUUUUAGUGAAGAUAUAGGGGUAUUAAGGUGAAAUUUUUUAUUGGAGAAGAUUAUGUAAUAAUGGUUAUAUUAGUAAUGAUUUGAGAUUAUGACUUUGUGGUAAUAUUGGAGUGUAAUGUUGUAGUAGAAUGGGGAAUUAAUAAAUUUAAAAUGAUGAAUUCGGCGAUUUCUUUUUGGCUGUUUAGCAAAGACAUUGUUUUUUGUAGGAAUAAAAAAUAAUAUCUGUCCACUGCUUAUAGUGAAGGGCUGCAGUAUAUUGACUGUGUGAAGGUAGCAUAAUCAUUAGUUUUUUAAUUGGGAGCUGGUAUGAAGAAGAAACAGGGAGGAGCUAUAUUAUUUUAAUUUGAUGAAUUUUAUUUUUGUGUGAAAAAUCAUAGUUGAGUAAAAGGGACAAGAAGACCCUGAUGAAUUUUAUUUUAGUUGUUUGUGGGCAUAUAGGGAGUUGAAGGAUAAUUAGUGCUAUCUAAUGAGUAGAAUUUGGCUGGGGCGGCUUUUAAAGUAAUGUAGAAACAUUAAAUAUAGUUUAAUUAUGGGGUUAAGCGUGUGAAGUGAAGAUUAGAUCUAAGUAAAUAGGUUAAUUAAAUGGAUAAUUACUGCAGGGAUAACAGCGUUAUUUUCCCUGAGAGUUCUAAUUGACGGGGGA
RNAcentral lists this ribosomal RNA (1103 nucleotides) under Orodesminus sp. MPE04222. RNAcentral describes it as "partial large subunit ribosomal RNA". The record is from RNAcentral. Lineage: Eukaryota; Metazoa; Arthropoda; Diplopoda; Polydesmida; Oxydesmidae.